This is a non-coding RNA of Schizosaccharomyces pombe (fission yeast), 740 nucleotides long. NCBI's taxonomy places the organism in Eukaryota, Fungi, Ascomycota, Schizosaccharomycetes, Schizosaccharomycetales, Schizosaccharomycetaceae. The record is from the annotation of a GenBank genome assembly.
AGCUCUUUGAAAAAAACAAAACUCUACAAUGGAAAGUAACAUGUACAUAAAAAAAAAAGAAUGUAUGUCGGUAGACAAACAACCACUUUAGUAGACGUAUAGUCCAAAGAAUUACAAUCUUUGCAAAAUACAAGAUGAAGAUUAAGGCAUGAAUAGAUCCAAUUAUGUUGAAACUUCACACAAAGCUUAUUUAACAUACCUGAAUAGGGAAUAAUCAUUAUCGGGAGACAUAUCACCAGCAAUCAAUACCGACAUUACCAAACCAUAGACCUAUUUAUCGUCAGUGAAUUACAAGAUUUUGAAUCUUUUACAUACGCCGAUAAUACCGCUCAUAACAACUGGAAUCAAAGACUUCAAAAUAUUAGUGAUGUUGUCAUUAUUUUUUGUUCAAAACAGCAGCACAAACCUUCAUAACAAUCUCAGGACGAAAAGCACCUACGGCAGCUAUCCCUCUUCCAGCCAAUGCUGUUCCAUAGCCUGCUCCGAGGCAUGAAAAAACCAUUGAGGCACAAACACCUAGCUAUUAAUCAUAAUUCAAUCGUCCAUACCUGCAAAACCAAAAAAAGAAGAAUAUAUAGGACUUAGUUCGUUAGAAAUGAAAAAGAAAAAUAUCCUUUACCAUAAAUUACUUGACAUAUUGUUUAGUUAUGUUCGUUAUGCAAACGGGACGUUCUAAGCUAUAUGAAAACGCAGUGAUUGUAAGCACUUUGUCGAUGUAGUAUUUCGUUGAAUUUCGUUGU